This is a ribosomal RNA of 700 nucleotides. It matches the Rfam family "Bacterial small subunit ribosomal RNA", at positions 48 to 731 of the family's 1533-position model.
GCUAUACAUGCAGUCGAGCGGACAGAUGGGAGCUUGCUCCCUGAUGUUAGCGGCGGACGGGUGAGUAACACGUGGGUAACCUGCCUGUAAGACUGGGAUAACUCCGGGAAACCGGGGCUAAUACCGGAUGGUUGUUUGAACCGCAUGGUUCAAACAUAAAAGGUGGCUUCGGCUACCACUUACAGAUGGACCCGCGGCGCAUUAGCUAGUUGGUGAGGUAACGGCUCACCAAGGCAACGAUGCGUAGCCGACCUGAGAGGGUGAUCGGCCACACUGGGACUGAGACACGGCCCAGACUCCUACGGGAGGCAGCAGUAGGGAAUCUUCCGCAAUGGACGAAAGUCUGACGGAGCAACGCCGCGUGAGUGAUGAAGGUUUUCGGAUCGUAAAGCUCUGUUGUUAGGGAAGAACAAGUACCGUUCGAAUAGGGCGGUACCUUGACGGUACCUAACCAGAAAGCCACGGCUAACUACGUGCCAGCAGCCGCGGUAAUACGUAGGUGGCAAGCGUUGUCCGGAAUUAUUGGGCGUAAAGGGCUCGCAGGCGGUUUCUUAAGUCUGAUGUGAAAGCCCCCGGCUCAACCGGGGAGGGUCAUUGGAAACUGGGGAACUUGAGUGCAGAAGAGGAGAGUGGAAUUCCACGUGUAGCGGUGAAAUGCGUAGAGAUGUGGAGGAACACCAGUGGCGAAGGCGACUCUCUG